AUUCGCAAGACAUUACAUAAACAACACCUUGAACAGCUAUAAAGGUUCUAGGUAUGGUAUCAUGCACUUUUGGUGAAGGUGGUGGUGUCUUAACAUGUUUUGGAGGAGUAGGAGGGUGAUUGUAGUGGGUAGGUGGUGGUGUCUUAACAUGUUUUGGAGGAGUAGGAGGGUGAUUGUAGUGGGUAGGUGGUGGUGUCUUAACAUGUUUUGGAGGAGUAGGAGGAUGAUUGUAGUGGGUAGGUGGUGGUGUCUUAACAUGUUUUGGAGGAGUAGGAGGGUGAUUGUAGUGGGUAGGUGGUUUAGCCGAUGGAGCAGGAGAGUGGACAGGUGCAACAGUUGGUGAUGGGUGGUGGUGGUGGUGGUGAUGUGGUGGUUGAAGAGGAGAAU
This 387-nucleotide long non-coding RNA is filed under the name Lupinus angustifolius (narrow-leaved blue lupine). RNAcentral describes it as "long non-coding RNA (LANG_LNC002686)". Lineage: Eukaryota; Viridiplantae; Streptophyta; Magnoliopsida; Fabales; Fabaceae. The record is from RNAcentral.